This 340-nucleotide unclassified non-coding RNA is filed under the name soil metagenome. RNAcentral's name for it is "partial contains 5.8S ribosomal RNA, internal transcribed spacer 2, and large subunit ribosomal RNA". The stretch from base 1 to 121 matches the Rfam family "5.8S ribosomal RNA", at positions 35 to 154 of the family's 154-position model. The record is from RNAcentral.
GAUGAAGAACGUAGCGAAAUGCGAUAAGUAAUGCGAAUUGCAGAAUUUCCGUGAGUCAUUGAAUCUUUGAACGCACAUUGCGCCCUCGGGUAUUCCCGAGGGCAUGCCUGUCCGAGCGUCAUUAUCCAACCAUCAAGCUCGGCUUGCGGUUGAGCCCCGCACCGUCCCCGGGACGGUGGGCUCGAAACAUGUUGGGCGCCCGUGAGGUUCUCGGUGCAGCGAGCUCUCGAGCACGUGCCGGGCAACCUCUCUGGGCGUCGGCCAACCCCCCAAUUUCUCAGGUUGACCUCGGAUCAGGUAGGAAUACCCGCUGAACUUAAGCAUAUCAAUAAGCGGAGGA